Long non-coding RNA from Chrysolophus pictus (golden pheasant), 3844 nucleotides. The record is from Ensembl. NCBI's taxonomy places the organism in Eukaryota, Metazoa, Chordata, Aves, Galliformes, Phasianidae.
CCGACCCCAUAACCCCAAUUCCCCCUCACCUCCCCCUCGGGCUCCAGGAAGCUCCACCCCCCCUGCUCGAAGAAACCUUCGGGGUCGUCCACGAUGGUCUUCAUGAUUUUGGUCCAGUUGAGGGACUGCACCCCUUCCGUGUACUUCAGGUCGCAGGAGCUGCGGGGACAGCGACCCCAAAACCGUUUUUGGGGGAAAAUCCGGGCAUUUCGGGGUCCCGCGCGACAAAGGGAUGAAAAAUAAUAAUGAUAAUUAAAAAAAAUACGGCGUUUUUGGGGCUGCGGAAUGCAGAGAUUUGGGGUUUUUUCGGGGGGUGUUUGGAAUCCCAAAGGUUUGGGGAAUGGAAAUCCCAAAGUUUGGGGUUUUGGGGGUCUUCAGAAUCCCAAAUUUUGGGGUUUUGGGGUCUUUGGAUUCCCAAAGUAUGGGGUUUUUGGGAAAUGGAAAUCCCAAAGUUUGGGGUUUUGGGGGUCUUCAGAAUCCCAAAUUUUGGGGUUUUGGGGUCUUUGGAUUCCCAAAGUAUGGGGUUUUUGGGAAAUGGAAAUCCCAAAGUUUGGGGUUUUGGGGGUCUUCAGAAUCCCAAAUUUUGGGGUUUUGGGGUCUUUGGAUUCCCAAAGUAUGGGGUUUUUGGGAAAUGGAAAUCCCAAAGUUUGGGGUUUUGGGGGUCUUCAGAAUCCCAAAUUUUGGGGUUUUGGGGUCUUUGGAUUCCCAAAGUAUGGGGUUUUUGGGAAAUGGAAAUCCCAAAGUUUGGGGUUUUGGGGGUCUUCAGAAUCCCAAAUUUUGGGGUUUUGGGGUCUUUGGAUUCCCAAAGUAUGGGGUUUUUGGGAAAUGGAAAUCCCAAAGUUUGGGUUUUUUGGGGUCUUUGGAAUUCCAAAGUUUGGGGUUUUGGGGUCUCUGGAAUCCCAAAUUUUAGAGUAUUGGGGUCAUUGGAAUCCCAAAGUGUUGGGAAAAGGAAAUCCCAAAGUUUGGGGUUUUUGGGGUCAUCGGAAUCCCAAAGUUUGAGGUUUUGGGGUCAUUGGAAUUGCAAAUUUUGGGGUUUUGGGGUCUUUGGAAUCGCAAAUCUUGGGGGUUUUGGGGUUUUUGGAAUCCCAAAGCAUUGGGAAAUGGAAAUCCCAAAGUCCAGGGUUUUGGGGUCAUCAGAAUCCCAAAGUUUGGGGUCUUUGGAAUUCCAAAUUUGGGGUUUUGGGGUCUUCGGAAUCCCUAAUUUUGGGGUUUUUGGGUUCCCAAAUUUUGGAGUAUUUUUUGGGUCUUCAUAAUCCCACAUUUUUGCCUCUUCAGAAUCCCAAAUUUUGGGGUUUUGGGGUCUCUGGAUUCCCAAAGUUUGGGGGUUUUGGGGUUUUUGGAAUCCCAAAGCAUUGGGAAAUGGAAAUCCCAAAGUCCAGGGUUUUGGGGUCAUCAGAAUCCCAAAGUUUGGGGUCUUUGGAAUUCCAAAUUUGGGGUUUUGGGGUCUUCGGAAUCCCUAAUUUUGGGGUUUUUGGGUUCCCAAAUUUUGGAGUAUUUUUUGGGUCUUCAUAAUCCCACAUUUUUGCCUCUUCAGAAUCCCAAAUUUUGGGGUUUUGGGGUCUCUGGAUUCCCAAAGUUUGGGGGUUUUGGGGUUUUUGGAAUCCCAAAGCAUUGGGAAAUGGAAAUCCCAAAGUCCAGGGUUUUGGGGUCAUCAGAAUCCCAAAGUUUGGGGUCUUUGGAAUUCCAAAUUUGGGGUUUUGGGGUCUUCGGAAUCCCUAAUUUUGGGGUUUUUGGGUUCCCAAAUUUUGGAGUAUUUUUUGGGUCUUCAUAAUCCCACAUUUUUGCCUCUUCAGAAUCCCAAAUUUUGGGGUUUUGGGGUCUCUGGAUUCCCAAAGUUUGGGGGUUUUGGGGUUUUUGGAAUCCCAAAGCAUUGGGAAAUGGAAAUCCCAAAGUCCAGGGUUUUGGGGUCAUCAGAAUCCCAAAGUUUGGGGUCUUUGGAAUUCCAAAUUUGGGGUUUUGGGGUCUUCGGAAUCCCUAAUUUUGGGGUUUUUGGGUUCCCAAAUUUUGGAGUAUUUUUUGGGUCUUCAUAAUCCCACAUUUUUGCCUCUUCAGAAUCCCAAAUUUUGGGGUUUUGGGGUCUCUGGAUUCCCAAAGUUUGGGGGUUUUGGGGUUUUUGGAAUCCCAAAGCAUUGGGAAAUGGAAAUCCCAAAGUCCAGGGUUUUGGGGUCAUCAGAAUCCCAAAGUUUGGGGUCUUUGGAAUUCCAAAUUUGGGGUUUUGGGGUCUUCGGAAUCCCUAAUUUUGGGGUUUUUGGGUUCCCAAAUUUUGGAGUAUUUUUUGGGUCUUCAUAAUCCCACAUUUUUGCCUCUUCAGAAUCCCAAAUUUUGGGGUUUUGGGGUCUCUGGAUUCCCAAAGUUUGGGGUUUUCUGGGGGGUCUUUGGAAUCCCAAAGGUUUGGGGAAUGGAAAUCCCAAAGUUUGGGGUCUUUGGAAUUCCAAAUUUGGGGUUUUGGGGUCUUCGGAAUCCCUAAUUUUGGGGUUUUUGGGUUCCCAAAUUUUGGAGUAUUUUUUGGGUCUUCAUAAUCCCACAUUUUUGGCUCUUCGGAAUCCCAAAUUUUGUUUUUUUGGGUUCCCAAAUUUUGGAGUAUUUUUUGGGUCUUCAUAAUCCCACAUUUUUGCCUCUUCAGAAUCCCAAAUUUUGGGGUUUUUGGGUUCCCAAAUUUGGGAUUUUUUGGGGACUUCGAAAUCCCAAAUUUUGGGUUUUUUGGGUUCCUAAAUCUUAAUUUUUUGGGUUUUUUUGUGACUCCGAAACCCCAAACUUUGGGCUUUCUUCCUACCACCACCACCCCAACAUUUCCCAUCUCCAACCCCCCCGAAAAAAAUUUUCUCGGGAUGGAAAAACCGGGUGCGAAAAAACGACGAAAAAAAAAGCGGAUUUGGGGUUUUUUUGGGGGUCGACCCAAUUUUGGGUCUUUGGAUUCCCAAACUUUGUGGGUUUUUUGGGAUUUCAUAAUCCCACAUUUUGGGCUCUUCAGAAUCCCAAAUUUGGGGUUUUUUGGGUCUUCAUGAUCCCAAAGUUUUGGGUUUUUUUGGGGGUCUUCGUAAUCCCACAUUUUUGGCUCUUCAGAAUCCCAGAUUUUGGGGUUUUUUGGGCUCCCAAAUUUUGGGGUAUUUUUUGGGGACUACAAAAUCCCAAAUUUGGGGUUUUUUGGGUCUUCAUGAUCCCAAAGUUUUGGGUUUUUUUGGGGGUCUUCAUAAUCCCACCUUUUUGGCUCUUCAGAAUCCCAAAUUUGGGCUUUUUUGGGUCUUCAUAAUCCCACAUUUUUGGCUCUUCAGAAUCCCAAAUUUUGGGUUUUUGGGGUUCCCAAAUUUUGGGUUUUUUGGGGUUCCCAAAUCUUAGGGUUGUUUUGGGAUUUUUUCCUACCAUCACCACCCCAACCCAUCUCCAACCCCCCCGAAAAAAAUUUUCUCGGGAUGGAAAAAACCGGGUGCGAAAAAACGACGAAAAAAAAAGCGGAUUUGGGGUUUUUUUUGGGGUCGACCCACUUGAGCCACUCCUUGAUGGGGUCGAGGGAAGCCACGGGGAUGGCGUUGAUCAUCGUGACUUUUCGGCUGUAGUCUUUGUAGACGAUGACCAUGUCGAAGUUCUUCAGGUGGAACUGGACCCUCUCGAAGUGGAUCAGCUCCACCUCGUCCAACGUCACCACGAAAGGAGGCUUUUUUGGGGGUCAAAAAACCAAGUUUUUAGGGUUUUUUGUUAUUACUGUCGUUUUUACGCCCCUACCUCAACCCCAAAUCAUCCCAAAGCGAAGGGGGGAUUGAGGGUGGGAAAAAAAGGGAUUUCGAGGGGUUUUCUUGGCUCUGCUUUCACCCAAAUCCACAGAAAAUAAAAAAAUGGGGGCUCAACA